GAGGAAUGCAAGAUACGUGCUGAAUUUAAGCAUAUAAUUAAGCACCAAAGAAACCAACCGGGAAUCUCUUAGUAAUGGCGAAUGAACAGAGAUGUCGAUCUCCCUGAAUCUUAAAAAGAGUUGUGGUGGGAAAUUCCGACGUGCCGUUUCGGGACGAGAGUACUUUGGAACAAGUUGCGAUAAAGGGUGACAGCCCUUCUGUUCCGAUUCUGCACUUCGGAGUUCUUUCGACGUGAGUCACAUUCCGUGCGAGUGGAAUGCUAACUGGGUGGUUCCGGCUAUCCAAAUCUGUGGAAGCCAGAGUCCGAUAGCGAACAAGUACCGUGAGGGAAAUGUGAAAAGAACUUUGAAAAGAGAGUUAAAAGAGCCUCAAAUCGCGAAGUGACGAAAGUGGCUUGACCGAGUUUGAUUGAAGCGCCGAACAUUGUUCGUGCGUGAAAUCGAAGGCCGGCUGGGAUGAGGUGGGGACGCUCGGACUUCGGUCCUUAUCAGGCGAAUCUACCCGCAUCUUACGUGGCUUCUUUGGUUUAGCCGUCCCGUCUUGUAACACGGACCAAGGAGUCCUUCACUCAUGCGAGUCGAAUCCGCUUAAACGGAAAGACGAAUGAAAGUGAAACGGUUUUAACAAUCCGACCCGAGCUGCAAGCUUGAGGCUGAGUGUGUGUGAAGGGACCCGAAAGAUGGUGAACUAUUCCUGUGCAACGUGAAGCCAGGGGAAACUCUGGCGGAAGCGUGAAGCGAUACUGACGUGCAAAUCGUUCGUCUGAUAUGGGUAUAGGGGCGAAAGACUCAUCGAACCAUCUAGUAGCUGGUUUCUGUCGAAAUUUCCCUCAGGAUAGCUGGAGUUGGUACGGUUUCGUGUUGUAAAGCCAAUGAUGAGAGGUAUCAGAGCCUGACGGCUUUGACCUAUCCUCAAACUCUGAAAGCGCGAAACGACGCUGUUGCUUCAUUGAGCAGCGUUUUCUACGACAACUCCAAGUGGGCCAUUUUUGGUAAGCAGAAAGGGCGAUAAGGGCUGCUCCUCGAGAAGAGUUGAAGUGUCUAAUCAGUGCUGACCGGAUACCACAAAAGGUGUUGUUUCAUCCUGACAGCAGGACGGUGGUCAUGGAAGUUGAAAUCCGCUAAGGAGUGUGUAACAACUCACCUGCCGAAUGAAUCAGCCCUGAAAAUGGAUUGCGCUUUAGCACUGAACUGAUACUCUUCGCUGGCUCGACAUAUCGGCCAGGCGGUAGGCAGAACGUGACAGUACGCUAUGAAUGCGUUGCGUAAGCGAUGCAGAAGCUGCUGUGAGUGCAGAUCUUGGUGGAAGUAGCAAAUAUUCAAAUAAGAUCUUUGAAACCUGACGAGGGGAAGGCUUCCAUGAGAACAACGAUUGGUCAUGGGUUAGUCGGUCCUAAGAGCCGAAGCAUGUCUUUUGAAUCGAUAUUCGACGCUCGAAAGGGGAGCCGGCUAAUAUUCCUGCACCAUUUGACAAGGCGCGGCAACGCAAUAGAGUGUUCAAUGCAAAACAGAGCCCUUCUCUGGCGUUUUCUUUGCCAAUGAACAUGAUCGGCUGCCCUGGAAUCAGCUCGGCUGGAGAAAGGGAGUUGGAUUGAAUCAGUCACCGAAUUUCGGAGACGUGCUGUGCUCUGCUUUUUGCUCUAGAAAAGGACACUUGUUUCCAUUGUCAGUCGGCCGUACUCAUAUCCGCAUCAGGUCUCCAAGGUGUUCAGCCUCUGGUAGAUGGGUAACCGCAAUUCAGGGAAGUCGGCAAAAUAGAUCCGUAACUUUGGGAAAAGGAUUGGCUCUGAGAGCCGAGCGGAAUUGGGGACUGACCAGGUUUGCUCGUGAGUUGCCUUUGAACGCAAGUUUGGGGGCUUUCUCUGAGUUUAACCACGCGAUGUCCUUCAACCGCGACAAACGGCAAACUCAGAACUGAAACGGACAAGAGGAAUCUGACUGUUUAAUCAAAACAUAGCAAUGCGCAAGCCACGGUUGGUGUGAACGCGUUGUGAUUUCUGCUCAGUGCCAUGAAAGUCAAUGUGUCGAAAUUCAUUGAAGCUCUGGUCAACAGCGGGAGUAACUAUGACUCUCUUAAGGUAGCCAAAUGCCUCGUCAUCUAAUUAGUGACGCGCAUGAAUGGAUUAACGAGAUUCCUACUGUCCCAAAUUGCGCCCCAGCGAAACCACAGCCAAGGGAACGGGCUUGGAAUGAUCAGCGGGGAAAGAAGACCCUGUUGAGCUUGACUCUAGUCCGACUUGUAAAGUAACUUGGAAGAUGUAGCAUAAGUGGGAGCCUUGCGACCUUGAAAUACCACUGCUUUCAAUGUGACUUUGCUUACUCCGUUAUAGUGCGCUUUCAAUGAGCAAAGCCUUUGUCAAAAGGUGAGCAUAUAGGAAGAAGAUGUCAGGUUGGGAGUUUGGCUGGGGCGGCACAUCUGUUAAACAACACCGCAGGUGUCCUAAGGCAAGCUCAAAGAGGACAGAAACCUCUUGUAGACCGAAAGGGGAAAAGCUUGCUUGAUUUUGACUUUCAGUACGAGUACAAACUGCGAAAGCAUGGCCUCUCGAUCCUUUACAUUUGGGUUGGUACCAAGUAGAGGUGUCAGAAAAGUUACCACAGGGAUAACUGGCUUGUGGCAGCCAAGCGU
RNAcentral lists this ribosomal RNA (2629 nucleotides) under Globobulimina sp. RNAcentral describes it as "eukaryotic LSU rRNA". It matches the Rfam family "Eukaryotic large subunit ribosomal RNA", at positions 1 to 2851 of the family's 3401-position model. Lineage: Eukaryota; Foraminifera; Rotaliida; Buliminidae. The record is from RNAcentral.